Molecule: long non-coding RNA, 2027 nt
Organism: Pan troglodytes (chimpanzee)
Lineage: Eukaryota; Metazoa; Chordata; Mammalia; Primates; Hominidae
Exons: 2
Source: RefSeq, a predicted model, not a curated record
CAAGGAGGGGGUGGGAUUUAUUCCCGUGGGUGUCUUUCCUUUCUAGCUGGUCUGCGGGCAUUCACCCUUGCCACCUGUCUGUGCAGCCAGUGACAUAGUCAUUGCCCCUCGGGGCAGGAGGAGGCCUGGUGGCCCUGUGUGUCUGUGUGGGGGAGGUACGGCUGUGUCCCCACCCCCGGCUCUCCACUCCUGCUCAUCCCCUAUGAAACCUGGUGUCAUGGACCUGCUCCCCUCGGGGCUGGUGACCUUUGGACCCCAGUGGUGACAACCACAGAGGUCCCCAGACAUCACCUGCAGCGUCCCUUGGAGGCAGGAUUGGCCCCAGUGAGAGCUGCUGCCCAGGGCCACUUCCGAGGUCAGUCAUCUCUUUCUGGGGGGUGGGGUAGGUAGUGCCAGUGUCAUUUUUGACUCCCCUGCUGGUGUGGCCUCCUAGGCCCAGGUUUCCCAGCAUCUCCCCUCUCCUGCUGAGGGCCCCCAUCUCUUGAGUAUUCCAUUUGAGCUGCUCAUCUCUGUGCCACUUUUUCCCAACUUAAGGCGGCUGAGCUCUGCAGCGGUCUGCAGCCUCGGUGUGCGACGUUUCUUAAGCACACAGGUGUUAAGUAUCUCAGAGCCGUGAAACUCUCUGCCUUGUCUGACAGACUCCCACCUUGAGGAUGGACCCUGGCUUUGGGGCUGGGAUUUCAUUCACUGCACUCGAGUCUCUGGAGGGGGGCUGGGCUGUUCGGAGGGUUUGGGGAGUGAGGGCACCGGGCAGCACAGGUUUAAGUCUCCUGUGUAGGAAUCUCACGUCUUUCGGGAGCUAAAUGCCAGGCAGGAGGUUGCUUUCCCCUCAGGAACUAGAAGUUCUUAUCCAACCUGCUCUUCACGCCCACCUGUGGGGAGAGAAGCCCAUUCCUUGUGUUCACUGCCUGCCGGAGAGCGGGAGGGAGCCUGUUUCGUCGUGGGCGGGAUGUGCCCCCCGACUCGGGUAGGCCCGAGCAUCUGAGGGCCCCCAAGGGCCCAUCGUUGUCAGGGUGACCGUCCACACCUGCAGGGGCAGGGAGUCGGCGGCUUAGCUUCCUCUGGAGCACGGUUCCGUCAGCCAGAUGUGCUCACAUCCAGCUCUUAGCGGCUCCUGCAAAAACCCGCUCUGAUCAAAGGGAGAUACAGAAGGAAGAAUGUGCAUUGUUGGAAACCGGGGAAUACGGUAAACAAAGAGAAGUGGGAGCUGACCUUACCAUCUCUGCCAUCCGCUCAGCCAUGAGAAGGAGCAAGGCCCAGCGUGGGUGAACCCUGAGGACACCCCGCUCAGUGAGAGAAGGAGACCCAGAGGCCACACCGUGCGAGACCCCAUUUCUAUGAAAUGUCCGGGACAAGCCAGUGCUCAGAGGCAGGAAGGGAUGCUUGGGUGUGGGGGCUGGAGGGUGACAACGGAUGGGGACGGGUUUUCUUUGGAGGAUGAAAAUGCUCUACCUUUGAUGGCGAAGAUGGUCUCCCCACUCUGUGAAUACACAAGCUCCUGUGUCGCACACCUGGUGAAUUGUAGGGCACACGAAUCUCACUGAAACUGUCCAGAAACAUCCUUCCCCCAGAUCAGCUCUCAGCAAAUCAGGAACAGUAAUCCAGAAUAAAAACAGGGCAGCCUUUCUGGAAGGCCGUCUGCCAUGGGUUACACAUGUGUCUCCUGUGGCCUAGCGGUUCUGUCUCUGGAACACGUGCAUACCGGUUCCAUGUCUAGGGAUAUCUGUAGCCCCGUUUGUUGUAGUGGAAAGUUCUAUGACCAGGGGAUGGGUUGAACCAGUGGAAUGUUAUGCAGCUGUGAAAAUGGGUUUGCUCCAUGAGGUUUGCUCUGUAUCUUUGGGCAUGGAGAGAUGAGCGCGACAACUUUAAGGGAAAAAAUAGGCUGUGGACUGGGACUCUUGUGAUUCCCGUUUUUUGUGGGGAUGUGGUUCUUGAACUGGGAAAGGGAGAUUUGCCCAAGUAUUGGUUGAUAUUAGUUUGAUGUCAUGGAAUUUGGGAUACCUUAAAAAUAUGCACUAACUUCUCAA